UAAUUUUAGAGUUUGAUCCUGGCUCAGAACAAACGCUGGUGGCGUGCUUAACACAUGCAAGUCGAACGGGAAAACCCUUCGGGGUGAUUAGAGUGGCGAACGGGUGAGUAAUACAUAGGAACAUGCCUACAUGUGGGGAAUAACUGCCGGAAACAGUAGCUAAUACCGCAUAUUUUGAAAAAAGAAAGAUGGCCUCUUCUUGAAAGCUAUCGCGUGUAGAUUGGCCUAUGUCCCAUUAGUUAGUUGGUAAGGUAAUGGCUUACCAAGGCGAUGAUGGGUAGCUGGUCUGAGAGGAUGGUCAGCCACACUGGGACUGAGAUACGGCCCAGACUCCUACGGGAGGCAGCAGUGAGGAAUCUUGCACAAUGGGCGAAAGCCUGAUGCAGCGACGCCACGUGAGUGAAGAAGGCUUUCGGGUCGUAAAGCUCUUUCGGUUGGGAAGAAAUGUUGUUAUGAAAAUAUUGUGACAAUUUGACGGUACCAGCAUAAGAAGCACAGGCUAAUUCCGUGCCAGCAGCCGCGGUAAUACGGGAUGUGCGAGCGUUGUUCGGAAUAACUGGGCGUAAAGGGCACGUAGGUGGGUAAACAAGUCGAUUGUGAAAGCCCCAAGCUUAACUUGGGAAUUGCAGUCGAAACUGUUUGUCUUGAAUGCUUGAGAGGGUGGUGGAAUUCCAGGUGUAGAAGUGAAAUUCGUAGAUAUCUGGAGGAACAUCGGUGGCGAAGGCGGCCACCUGGCAAUGCAUUGACGCUGAGGUGCGAAAGCGUGGGUAGCAAACAGGAUUAGAUACCCUGGUAGUCCACGCUGUAAACGAUGGAUACUAGAUGUCUGGAGUAUUAACCCUCUGGGUGUCGAAGCUAACGUGUUAAGUAUCCCGCCUGGGGAGUACGGUCGCAAGGCUAAAACUCAAAGGAAUUGACGGGGGCCCGCACAAGCGGUGGAGUAUGUGGUUUAAUUCGAAGCAACGCGCAGAACCUUACCUGGGUUUAACAUCCCUUGAUCGUUAUAGAAAUAUAAUUUUCUCUUCGGAGACAAGGUGAUAGGUGCUGCAUGGCUGUCGUCAGCUCGUGUCGUAAGAUGUUGGGUUAAGUCCCGCAACGAGCGCAACCCUUGUCUUUAGUUGCUAACAUUAAGUUGAGGACUCUAAAGAGACUGCCGGUGUUAAACCGGAGGAAGGCGAGGAUGACGUCAAGUCCUCAUGGCCCUUACACCCAGGGCUACACACGUACUACAAUGGCAGAAACAAACUGUUGCGAAAUCGUGAGAUGGAGCUAAUCGGUAAAACACUGUCACAGUUCGGAUUGAAGUCUGCAAUUCGACUUCAUGAAGUUGGAAUCGCUAGUAAUCGCAGAUCAGCACGCUGCGGUGAAUACGUUCCCGGGCCUUGUACACACCGCCCGUCACACCACGAGAGUAGUCAUGACUAGAAGUAGGUGAGCUGACCUUCGGGGGGCAGCCUACCAAGGUUUUGGUUGCGAUUGGGGUGAAGUCGUAACAAGGUAGCCGUAGGGGAACCUGCGGCUGGAUCACCUCCUUU
Molecule: non-coding RNA, 1535 nt
Organism: Candidatus Thiomargarita nelsonii
Lineage: Bacteria; Pseudomonadati; Pseudomonadota; Gammaproteobacteria; Thiotrichales; Thiotrichaceae
Source: Rfam